RNAcentral lists this small RNA (72 nucleotides) under Arabidopsis thaliana (thale cress). RNAcentral describes it as "ATSL199520". Lineage: Eukaryota; Viridiplantae; Streptophyta; Magnoliopsida; Brassicales; Brassicaceae. The record is from RNAcentral.
AUUCUAGUUCUUAUACUCAAUCAUACACAUGACAUGUAGUCAUAUUUGACUCUGAAACAAUAACCAAGCUUU